This 2787-nucleotide ribosomal RNA is filed under the name Escherichia coli. RNAcentral's name for it is "bacterial LSU rRNA". It matches the Rfam family "Bacterial large subunit ribosomal RNA". The record is from RNAcentral. Lineage: Bacteria; Pseudomonadati; Pseudomonadota; Gammaproteobacteria; Enterobacterales; Enterobacteriaceae.
AGCGUACACGGUGGAUGCCCUGGCAGUCAGAGGCGAUGAAGGACGUGCUAAUCUGCGAUAAGCGUCGGUAAGGUGAUAUGAACCGUUAUAACCGGCGAUUUCCGAAUGGGGAAACCCAGUGUGAUUCGUCACACUAUCAUUAACUGAAUCCAUAGGUUAAUGAGGCGAACCGGGGGAACUGAAACAUCUAAGUACCCCGAGGAAAAGAAAUCAACCGAGAUUCCCCCAGUAGCGGCGAGCGAACGGGGAGCAGCCCAGAGCCUGAAUCAGUGUGUGUGUUAGUGGAAGCGUCUGGAAAGGCGUGCGAUACAGGGUGACAGCCCCGUACACAAAAAUGCACAUGCUGUGAGCUCGAUGAGUAGGGCGGGACACGUGGUAUCCUGUCUGAAUAUGGGGGGACCAUCCUCCAAGGCUAAAUACUCCUGACUGACCGAUAGUGAACCAGUACCGUGAGGGAAAGGCGAAAAGAACCCCGGCGAGGGGAGUGAAAAAGAACCUGAAACCGUGUACGUACAAGCAGUGGGAGCACGCUUAGGCGUGUGACUGCGUACCUUUUGUAUAAUGGGUCAGCGACUUAUAUUCUGUAGCAAGGUUAACCGAAUAGGGGAGCCGAAGGGAAACCGAGUCUUAACUGGGCGUUAAGUUGCAGGGUAUAGACCCGAAACCCGGUGAUCUAGCCAUGGGCAGGUUGAAGGUUGGGUAACACUAACUGGAGGACCGAACCGACUAAUGUUGAAAAAUUAGCGGAUGACUUGUGGCUGGGGGUGAAAGGCCAAUCAAACCGGGAGAUAGCUGGUUCUCCCCGAAAGCUAUUUAGGUAGCGCCUCGUGAAUUCAUCUCCGGGGGUAGAGCACUGUUUCGGCAAGGGGGUCAUCCCGACUUACCAACCCGAUGCAAACUGCGAAUACCGGAGAAUGUUAUCACGGGAGACACACGGCGGGUGCUAACGUCCGUCGUGAAGAGGGAAACAACCCAGACCGCCAGCUAAGGUCCCAAAGUCAUGGUUAAGUGGGAAACGAUGUGGGAAGGCCCAGACAGCCAGGAUGUUGGCUUAGAAGCAGCCAUCAUUUAAAGAAAGCGUAAUAGCUCACUGGUCGAGUCGGCCUGCGCGGAAGAUGUAACGGGGCUAAACCAUGCACCGAAGCUGCGGCAGCGACGCUGAUGCGUUGUUGGGUAGGGGAGCGUUCUGUAAGCCUGUGAAGGUGUACUGUGAGGUAUGCUGGAGGUAUCAGAAGUGCGAAUGCUGACAUAAGUAACGAUAAAGCGGGUGAAAAGCCCGCUCGCCGGAAGACCAAGGGUUCCUGUCCAACGUUAAUCGGGGCAGGGUGAGUCGACCCCUAAGGCGAGGCCGAAAGGCGUAGUCGAUGGGAAACAGGUUAAUAUUCCUGUACUUGGUGUUACUGCGAAGGGGGGACGGAGAAGGCUAUGUUGGCCGGGCGACGGUUGUCCCGGUUUAAGCGUGUAGGCUGGUUUUCCAGGCAAAUCCGGAAAACUAAGGCUGAGGCGUGAUGACGAGGCACUACGGUGCUGAAGCAACAAAUGCCCUGCUUCCAGGAAAAGCCUCUAAGCAUCAGGUAACAUCAAAUCGUACCCCAAACCGACACAGGUGGUCAGGUAGAGAAUACCAAGGCGCUUGAGAGAACUCGGGUGAAGGAACUAGGCAAAAUGGUGCCGUAACUUCGGGAGAAGGCACGCUGAUAUGUAGGUGAAGUCCCUCGCGGAUGGAGCUGAAAUCAGUCGAAGAUACCAGCUGGCUGCAACUGUUUAUUAAAAACACAGCACUGUGCAAACACGAAAGUGGACGUAUACGGUGUGACGCCUGCCCGGUGCCGGAAGGUUAAUUGAUGGGGUCAGCGCAAGCGAAGCUCUUGAUCGAAGCCCCGGUAAACGGCGGCCGUAACUAUAACGGUCCUAAGGUAGCGAAAUUCCUUGUCGGGUAAGUUCCGACCUGCACGAAUGGCGUAAUGAUGGCCAGGCUGUCUCCACCCGAGACUCAGUGAAAUUGAACUCGCUGUGAAGAUGCAGUGUACCCGCGGCAAGACGGAAAGACCCCGUGAACCUUUACUAUAGCUUGACACUGAACAUUGAGCCUUGAUGUGUAGGAUAGGUGGGAGGCUUGGAAGUGUGGACGCCAGUCUGCAUGGAGCCGACCUUGAAAUACCACCCUUUAAUGUUUGAUGUUCUAACGUUGACCCGUAAUCCGGGUUGCGGACAGUGUCUGGUGGGUAGUUUGACUGGGGCGGUCUCCUCCUAAAGAGUAACGGAGGAGCACGAAGGUUGGCUAAUCCUGGUCGGACAUCAGGAGGUUAGUGCAAUGGCAUAAGCCAGCUUGACUGCGAGCGUGACGGCGCGAGCAGGUGCGAAAGCAGGUCAUAGUGAUCCGGUGGUUCUGAAUGGAAGGGCCAUCGCUCAACGGAUAAAAGGUACUCCGGGGAUAACAGGCUGAUACCGCCCAAGAGUUCAUAUCGACGGCGGUGUUUGGCACCUCGAUGUCGGCUCAUCACAUCCUGGGGCUGAAGUAGGUCCCAAGGGUAUGGCUGUUCGCCAUUUAAAGUGGUACGCGAGCUGGGUUUAGAACGUCGUGAGACAGUUCGGUCCCUAUCUGCCGUGGGCGCUGGAGAACUGAGGGGGGCUGCUCCUAGUACGAGAGGACCGGAGUGGACGCAUCACUGGUGUUCGGGUUGUCAUGCCAAUGGCACUGCCCGGUAGCUAAAUGCGGAAGAGAUAAGUGCUGAAAGCAUCUAAGCACGAAACUUGCCCCGAGAUGAGUUCUCCCUGACUCCUUGA